UGAAUACGAGACGCUAAGGCGUUGAAGUAGUGUAUGUCAUACUUCCAAGAAAAGCUUGCACUGUCAUAGAUAAAAAACGCCUGUACCAUAACCGACACAGGUGGGUAGGUAGAGUAUACUAAGGGGCGCGAGAUAACUCUCUCUAAGGAACUCGGCAAAAUAACUCCGUAACUUCGGGAGAAGGAGUGCCUUAUUUAUAAGGCUGCAACAACAAGAUCCAAGCAACUGUUUAUCAAAAACACAGGUCUCCGCUAAGUCGUAAGACGAUGUAUGGGGGCUGACGCCUGCCCAGUGCCAGAAGGUUAAAGAAGUUGGUUAGCAAUAGCGAAGCUGAUAACUGAAGCCCUGGUGAACGGCGGCCGUAACAAUAACGGUCCUAAGGUAGCGAAAUUCCUUGUCGGGUAAGUUCCGACCCGCACGAAAGGCGUAAUGAUUUGGAUACUGUCUCGGAGAGGGGCUCGGUGAAAUAGACUUGUCUGUGAAGAUGCGGACUACCUGCACCAGGACAGAAAGACCCUAUGAAGCUUUACUGUAACUUGAAAUUGAAAUUGGACUUUAUUCGCGCAGUAUAGGUGGGAGGCGUUGAUUGUAAUCUUGCGGGAUUAUUGGAGCCAUCAGUGAGAUACCACCCUUGUAAUGUUAGAUUUCUAACUUUGAAUCAUUAUCUGGUCAAAGAACAGUUUCAGGCGGGCAGUUUGACUGGGGCGGUCGCCUCCUAAACGGUAACGGAGGCGUACAAAGGUUUCCUCUGAACGGUUAGAAAUCGUAUCUAGAGUGUAAAGGCAUAAGGAAGCUUGACUGUGAGACCUACAAGUCGAGCAGGGACGAAAGUCGGUCUUAGUGAUCUGACGGUACUGAGUGGAAAGGCCGUCACUCAACGGAUAAAAGUUACUCUAGGAUAACAGGCUGAUCUCCCCCAAGAGUUCACAUCGACGGGGAGGUUUGGCACCUUGAUGUCGGCUCAUCGCAUCCUGGGGCGGUAGUACGUCCCAAGGGUUGGGCUGUUCGCCCAUGAAAGCGGUACGCGAGCUGGGUUCAGAACGUCGUGAGACAGUUCGGUCCAUAUCCGGUGUAGGCGUUAGAAUAUUGAGAGGAGCCUUCUUUAGUACGAGAGGACCGAGAAGGACAUACCCCUGGUGUACCAGUUAUCGUGCCAACGGUAAACGCUGGGUAGCUAUGUAUGGAGUGGAUAACCGCUGAAAGCAUCUAAGUGGGAAGCCCACCUCAAGAUAAG
This 1234-nucleotide ribosomal RNA is filed under the name metagenome. RNAcentral's name for it is "bacterial LSU rRNA". It matches the Rfam family "Bacterial large subunit ribosomal RNA", at positions 1564 to 2808 of the family's 2925-position model. The record is from RNAcentral.